CAUGAAGCCGGAAUCGCUAGUAAUCGCGGAUCAGAAUGCCGCGGUGAAUACGUUCCCGGGUCUUGUACACACCGCCCGUCACACCAUGGGAGUCGGAAAUGCCCGAAGUCUGUGACCCAACCUUAGGGAGGGAGCAGCCGAAGGCAGGUCGGAUGACUGGGGUGAAGUCGUAACAAGGUAUC
Molecule: ribosomal RNA, 182 nt
Filed under: uncultured bacterium
Lineage: Bacteria
Description: partial 16S ribosomal RNA
Rfam family: Bacterial small subunit ribosomal RNA
Source: RNAcentral